This 102-nucleotide signal recognition particle RNA is filed under the name Magnetospirillum gryphiswaldense MSR-1 v2. RNAcentral describes it as "SRP_bact". It matches the Rfam family "Bacterial small signal recognition particle RNA". From Rfam's summary of the family: The signal recognition particle (SRP) is a universally conserved ribonucleoprotein involved in the co-translational targeting of proteins to membranes. Archaeal SRP consists of a 7S RNA and homologues of the eukaryotic SRP19 and SRP54 proteins. In most bacteria, the SRP consists of a 4.5S RNA and the Ffh protein (a homologue of the eukaryotic SRP54 protein). Lineage: Bacteria; Pseudomonadati; Pseudomonadota; Alphaproteobacteria; Rhodospirillales; Rhodospirillaceae. The record is from RNAcentral.
CGGGAGAUCGGCGAUGGACGAGCCUGUCGCCAACCCGGUCAGGUCCGGAAGGAAGCAGCCGUAACGAUUUCCGGUUCGGGUCGUUGUCCGGUCUCCCACCCU